GACGAACGCUGGCGGCGUGCUUAACACAUGCAAGUCGAACGGAAAGGCCCUGCUUUUGUGGGGUGCUCGAGUGGCGAACGGGUGAGUAACACGUGAGUAACCUACCCUUGACUUUGGGAUAACUUCAGGAAACUGGGGCUAAUACCGGAUAGGAGCUCCUGCUGCAUGGUGGGGGUUGGAAAGGUUCGGCGGUUGGGGAUGGACUCGCGGCUUAUCAGCUUGUUGGUGGGGUAGUGGCUUACCAAGGCUUUGACGGGUAGCCGGCCUGAGAGGGUGACCGGCCACAUUGGGACUGAGAUACGGCCCAGACUCCUACGGGAGGCAGCAGUGGGGAAUAUUGCACAAUGGGCGGAAGCCUGAUGCAGCAACGCCGCGUGCGGGAUGACGGCCUUCGGGUUGUAAACCGCUUUCGCCUGUGACGAAGCGUGAGUGACGGUAAUGGGUAAAGAAGCACCGGCUAACUACGUG
Molecule: ribosomal RNA, 468 nt
Filed under: uncultured bacterium
Lineage: Bacteria
Description: partial 16S ribosomal RNA
Rfam family: Bacterial small subunit ribosomal RNA
Source: RNAcentral